AGCCUGCCCAGUGACUCUGUUCAACGGCCGCGGUAUCCUAACCGUGCGAAGGUAGCGUAAUCACUUGUUCUUUAAAUAAGGACUAGUAUGAAUGGCACCACGAGGGUUAUACUGUCUCCUUUCUCUAAUCAGUGAAAUUGAUCUCCCCGUGAAGAAGCGGGGAUAACAUUAUAAGACGAGAAGACCCUAUGGAGCUUUAAACAAACUACAUAUGCUCUUCCUACACCAAAAUUUCUGAAAAUUAAAAUGUAUAUCAGCAUCAUGAUAGGGGGUUUUAGGUUGGGGUGACCGCGAAGAAAAACCUAUCCUCCGCACUGAAUAAGAUUACAUCUUUAGCCAAAAGUUACAACUUAACGCAUCAAUAAAUUGACAUUAUUGACCCAAUAUUUUGAACAACGAACCAAGUUACCCUAGGGAUAACAGCGCAAUCCACUUCGAGAGCCCCUAUCGACAAGUGGGUUUACGACCUCGAUGUUGGAUCAGGGUAUCCCAGUGGUGCAGCCGCUACUAAAGGUUC
RNAcentral lists this ribosomal RNA (517 nucleotides) under Hylidae gen. sp. Its description in RNAcentral is "partial 16S large subunit ribosomal RNA". It matches the Rfam family "Bacterial large subunit ribosomal RNA", at positions 1856 to 2574 of the family's 2925-position model. Lineage: Eukaryota; Metazoa; Chordata; Amphibia; Anura; Hylidae. The record is from RNAcentral.